AAGUGUUACAGAUCUUUUAGAAUUUGUCUAGCAGGUUUUCUGCUUUUCACUGGAAGACUCCC
Small nuclear RNA from Gorilla gorilla gorilla (western lowland gorilla), 62 nucleotides. Its record names the gene U7. It matches the Rfam family "U7 small nuclear RNA". From Rfam's summary of the family: Animal histone pre-mRNAs are spliced by a different mechanism than nuclear pre-mRNAs and self-splicing introns. This processing involves the U7 snRNP, which contains only one RNA species: U7. The 5' end of U7 RNA is thought to base-pair to a conserved spacer element downstream of the cleavage site in histone pre-mRNA. Lineage: Eukaryota; Metazoa; Chordata; Mammalia; Primates; Hominidae. The record is from Ensembl.